This is a long non-coding RNA of Cucumis melo (muskmelon), 834 nucleotides long. RefSeq lists it as uncharacterized. The record is from RefSeq and is a predicted model, not a curated record. The transcript has 2 exons. NCBI's taxonomy places the organism in Eukaryota, Viridiplantae, Streptophyta, Magnoliopsida, Cucurbitales, Cucurbitaceae.
AACAAACAUAUUGUUAUCAUCAAAAUUUACUCCCUCUUGUUUCUCCUCACUUUGCCUCUUUCACAACCAACCCCAACCACCAUUCAUUUUAUUGAUUAUUCUCAUUGUCUCUCUCUCCCCGUCAACCGACCGGGCACCGCUUUCCUCCACGUCCUCCACCAUCUCCUCUGCCACAUUGUGGUUUCUCCAACCUCCCAUGACCACCGUCGUCGCACCGAUUUGUUUACACAGAGCAAACUCCGGCGCCAUAUCUUUACGAUCACACUCCGACGGGGUGGCAGCACCACCUGAGUUGGGCGGCACUUGAAAAAUAGCUCCAUGAGAAUAGUUGGGUUGCUUCAAAUCUUGAUCAUUGCUGAGUUGAGAAGCAACAAAUUUUUCCAUUACUCUCCAAUCGGUCACGUGAUCCACGGUGUGCUCGACGCCGUAAAGCGGAGUGACGCCAGUGUCUCGGUCGUAGGCGUAAGGGAGCAGAGAGUUGGUGGUGGAAGAUGUGGGGAUUUUUGGACUUUCGAGGUGAGGGAGUUGGAGGAAAACCUGGUCGUGCGGUGGGGCGUGGAAAUGCAACUCGAGCUCUUGCUUGCAAGGAUAAGCUGGGUGGUGAAAGAUUUGGGUGGUUGGAGAAUCAAGCUCUGGCAUGAAGGAGACUUGGUCGUCGUACCAGCAGGGCGAGCCAUAGUCACCGGCUUUUCUCACCGUCGGCAUCCUCUUCUUGAAAACCCUGCAAACAACCCAUCCUUCCUCCUAGUAUAUACAAAGACAAUUUUGUUGAAGCUAUGUUAGAAUAAUAACAUUUUUCUGACCUAAUAAUAAUAAUGCAUGAUUUCUGAUGUU